GUGUCAGCCGCGGUAAUACGUAGGUGGCAAGCGUUGUCCGGAAUUAUUGGGCGUAAAGCGCGCGCAGGCGGUCCUUUAAGUCUGAUGUGAAAUCUCGCGGCUCAACCGCGAGCGGUCAUUGGAAACUGGGGGACUUGAGUGCAGAAGAGGAAAGCGGAAUUCCACGUGUAGCGGUGAAAUGCGUAGAGAUGUGGAGGAACACCAGUGGCGAAGGCGGCUUUCUGGUCUGUAACUGACGCUGAGGCUCGAAAGCGUGGGGAGCGAACAGGAUUAGAUACCCCAGUAGUCC
RNAcentral lists this ribosomal RNA (289 nucleotides) under uncultured Bacillus sp. RNAcentral's name for it is "partial 16S ribosomal RNA". It matches the Rfam family "Bacterial small subunit ribosomal RNA", at positions 505 to 796 of the family's 1533-position model. The record is from RNAcentral. Lineage: Bacteria; Bacillati; Bacillota; Bacilli; Caryophanales; Bacillaceae.